RNAcentral lists this ribosomal RNA (229 nucleotides) under uncultured Staphylococcus sp. RNAcentral describes it as "partial 16S ribosomal RNA". It matches the Rfam family "Bacterial small subunit ribosomal RNA", at positions 111 to 334 of the family's 1533-position model. Lineage: Bacteria; Bacillati; Bacillota; Bacilli; Caryophanales; Staphylococcaceae. The record is from RNAcentral.
UAACACGUGGAUAACCUACCUAUAAGACUGGGAUAACUAUUGGAAACGAUAGCUAAUACCGGAUAAUAUUUUGAACCGCAUGGUUCAAAAGUGAAAGACGGUCUUGCUGUCACUUAUAGAUGGAUCCGCGCUGCAUUAGCUAGUUGGUAAGGUAACGGCUUACCAAGGCAACGAUGCAUAGCCGACCUGAGAGGGUGAUCGGCCACACUGGGACUGAGACACGGCCCAG